Molecule: ribosomal RNA, 253 nt
Filed under: uncultured bacterium
Lineage: Bacteria
Description: partial 16S ribosomal RNA
Rfam family: Bacterial small subunit ribosomal RNA
Source: RNAcentral
GACGUAGGGCGCGAGCGUUGUCCGGAAUUAUUGGGCGUAAAGAGCUCGUAGGCGGCUUGUUGCGUCGGCUGUGAAAACCCGCGGCUCAACCGUGGGCUUGCAGCCGAUACGGGCAGGCUAGAGUUCGGUAGGGGAGACUGGAAUUCCUGGUGUAGCGGUGAAAUGCGUUGAUAUCAGGAGGAACACCCAUGGCGAAGGCAGCAAACUGGUCAUCAACUGACGCUGAGGCGCGAAAGCGUGGGUAGCAAACAGG